GGCACGUAGCUCAGCUGGAUAGAGCGUCAGGUUCCGGUUCUGAAAGUCGGGGGUUCGAGUCCCUCCGUGCCCGUCCA
Molecule: transfer RNA, 77 nt
Filed under: Aphanocapsa feldmannii 277cV
Lineage: Bacteria; Bacillati; Cyanobacteriota; Cyanophyceae; Chroococcales; Microcystaceae
Description: tRNA-Arg
Rfam family: tRNA
About the family: Transfer RNA (tRNA) molecules are approximately 80 nucleotides in length.
Source: RNAcentral